Dama dama (fallow deer) is the source of this 73-nucleotide non-coding RNA. The record is from the annotation of a RefSeq genome assembly. Lineage: Eukaryota; Metazoa; Chordata; Mammalia; Artiodactyla; Cervidae.
UUCCUGGUGGUCCAGUGGUUAGGAUUCUGCAUUCUCAUUGCCAAGGGCCUGGGUUCAAUCCCUAGUCAGGGAA